UACGGAGGGUGCAAGCGUUAUCCGGAUUCACUGGGUUUAAAGGGUGCGUAGGAGGGCAGGUAAGUCAGUGGUGAAAUCUCCGAGCUUAACUUGGAAACUGCCGUUGAUACUAUCUGUCUUGAAUAUUGUGGAGGUGAGCGGAAUAUGUCGUGUAGCGGUGAAAUGCUUAGAUAUGACAUAGAACACCAAUUGCGAAGGCAGCUCGCUACACAUAUAUUGACUCUGAGGCACGAAAGCGUGGGGAUCAAACAGG
RNAcentral lists this ribosomal RNA (253 nucleotides) under uncultured bacterium. Its description in RNAcentral is "partial 16S ribosomal RNA". It matches the Rfam family "Bacterial small subunit ribosomal RNA", at positions 524 to 776 of the family's 1533-position model. The record is from RNAcentral.